GACGAACGCUGGCGGCGUGCCUAAUACAUGCAAGUCGAGCGGACGGAUGGGAGCUUGCUCCCAGACCGUCAGCGGCGGACGGGUGAGUAACACGUGGGCAACCUGCCUGUAAGACUGGGAUAACUCCGGGAAACCGGGGCUAAUACCGGAUAACUCUUUCCCUCACAUGAGGGAAAGCUGAAAGAUGGCAUCUCGCUAUCACUUACAGAUGGGCCCGCGGCGCAUUAGCUAGUUGGUGAGGUAACGGCUCACCAAGGCGACGAUGCGUAGCCGACCUGAGAGGGUGAUCGGCAACACUGGGACUGAGACACGGCCCAGACUCCUACGGGAGGCAGCAGGAGGGAAUCUUCCGCAAUGGACGAAAGUCUGACGGAGCAACGCCGCGUGAGUGAUGAAGGUUUUCGGAUCGUAAAACUCUGUUGUCAGGGAAGAACAAGUACCGGAGCAACUGCCGGUACCUUGACGGUACCUGACCAGAAAGCCACGGCUGACUACGU
RNAcentral lists this ribosomal RNA (497 nucleotides) under uncultured bacterium. RNAcentral describes it as "partial 16S ribosomal RNA". It matches the Rfam family "Bacterial small subunit ribosomal RNA", at positions 28 to 506 of the family's 1533-position model. The record is from RNAcentral.